Molecule: small RNA, 814 nt
Filed under: Pan troglodytes (chimpanzee)
Lineage: Eukaryota; Metazoa; Chordata; Mammalia; Primates; Hominidae
Description: processed transcript
Source: RNAcentral
GACAUCUGGCAAAGACAGUCUAGAUGCAGUCACAUAUCAACAAGUGGAAGACUGUGUUUUCCCAGGGUAGAAGAACAAAAGUGCAUUUUUAUGUGGAGUUAUGAAGACCUACAGGCAGAGAGAGAAACAGGGGAGCAAGGUGCAAGAGUCCACAAAGGGACCUGAUGAAGCGAAGAUCAAGGCCUUGCUUGAGAGAACUGGUUAUACUCUGGAUGUAACCACAGGACAGAGGAAGUAUGGUGGUCCUCCACCAGACAGUGUGUACUCUGGCGUGCAACCUGGAAUUGGAACGGAGGUAUUUGUAGGCAAAAUACCAAGGGAUUUAUAUGAGGAUGAGUUGGUGCCCCUUUUUGAGAAGGCCGGACCCAUUUGGGAUCUACGUCUUAUGAUGGAUCCACUGUCCGGUCAGAAUAGAGGGUAUGCAUUUAUCACCUUCUGUGGAAAGGAAGCUGCACAGGAAGCCGUGAAACUGUGUGACAGCUAUGAAAUUCGCCCUGGUAAACACCUUGGAGUGUGCAUUUCUGUGGCAAACAACAGACUUUUUGUUGGAUCCAUUCCGAAGAAUAAGACUAAAGAAAACAUUUUGGAAGAAUUCAGUAAAGUCACAGAGGGUUUGGUGGACGUUAUUCUCUAUCAUCAACCCGAUGACAAAAAGAAGAAUCGGGGGUUCUGCUUCCUUGAAUAUGAGGAUCACAAGUCAGCAGCACAAGCCAGACGCCGGCUGAUGAGUGGAAAAGUAAAAGUGUGGGGAAAUGUAGUUACAGUUGAAUGGGCUGACCCUGUGGAAGAACCAGAUCCAGAAGUCAUGGCUAAG